Molecule: non-coding RNA, 143 nt
Organism: Pelobates cultripes (western spadefoot toad)
Lineage: Eukaryota; Metazoa; Chordata; Amphibia; Anura; Pelobatidae
Source: the annotation of a GenBank genome assembly
UACAUAGGGUGGAAAAGUUCUUUGCAAUUUUCCCACGCUGUGUAAUUUGACUCAUAACACUCUGAUUGGUGGAUUAAGUAACCAAUCAGAGAGUUAUGAGUCAAAUUACACAGUGUGGGAAAAUGGCUUUUUCAAUUGGUAUA